CCUACGGGAGGCUGCAGUAGGGAAUCUUCGGCAAUGGACGGAAGUCUGACCGAGCAACGCCGCGUGAGUGAAGAAGGUUUUCGGAUCGUAAAGCUCUGUUGUAAGAGAAGAACGAGUGUGAGAGUGGAAAGUUCACACUGUGACGGUAACUUACCAGAAAGGGACGGCUAACUACGUGCCAGCAGCCGCGGUAAUACGUAGGUCCCGAGCGUUAUCCGGAUUUAUUGGGCGUAAAGCGAGCGCAGGCGGUUAGAUAAGUCUGAAGUUAAAGGCUGUGGCUUAACCAUAGUACGCUUUGGAAACUGUUUAACUUGAGUGCAAGAGGGGAGAGUGGAAUUCCAUGUGUAGCGGUGAAAUGCGUAGAUAUAUGGAGGAACACCGGUGGCGAAAGCGGCUCUCUGGCUUGUAACUGACGCUGAGGCUCGAAAGCGUGGGGAGCAAACGGGAUUAGAUACCCCUGUAGUC
RNAcentral lists this ribosomal RNA (465 nucleotides) under uncultured Streptococcus sp. RNAcentral describes it as "bacterial SSU rRNA". It matches the Rfam family "Bacterial small subunit ribosomal RNA", at positions 338 to 795 of the family's 1533-position model. Lineage: Bacteria; Bacillati; Bacillota; Bacilli; Lactobacillales; Streptococcaceae. The record is from RNAcentral.